UACGAAGGGGGCUAGCGUUGCUCGGAAUCACUGGGCGUAAAGCGCACGUAGGCGGCUUUCUAAGUCAGGGUGAAAUCCUGGAGCUCAACUCCAGAACUGCCUUUGAUACUGGAGAGCUUGAGUCCGGGAGAGGUGAGUGGAACUCCGAGUGUAGAGGUGAAAUUCGUAGAUAUUCGGAAGAACACCAGUGGCGAAGGCGGCUCACUGGCCCGGUACUGACGCUGAGGUGCGAAAGCGUGGGAGCAACAG
This 249-nucleotide ribosomal RNA is filed under the name uncultured bacterium. RNAcentral's name for it is "partial 16S ribosomal RNA". It matches the Rfam family "Bacterial small subunit ribosomal RNA", at positions 524 to 775 of the family's 1533-position model. The record is from RNAcentral.